UACGGAGGGUGCAAGCGUUAUCCGGAUUCACUGGGUUUAAAGGGUGUGCAGGCGGGCUAUUAAGUCAGUGGUGAAAUCCCGAGGCUCAACCUCGGAACUGCCAUUGAUACUAUUAGUCUUGAAUUCUGUUGAGGUGGGCGGAAUAUGUCAUGUAGCGGUGAAAUGCUUAGAUAUGACAUAGAACACCGAUUGCGAAGGCAGCUCACUAAGCAGCGAUUGACGCUGAGGCACGAAAGCGUGGGGAUCAAACAGG
RNAcentral lists this ribosomal RNA (253 nucleotides) under uncultured bacterium. RNAcentral's name for it is "partial 16S ribosomal RNA". It matches the Rfam family "Bacterial small subunit ribosomal RNA", at positions 524 to 776 of the family's 1533-position model. The record is from RNAcentral.